AGCGGUCCCUUCGGGGAUAGCGGCGGACGGGUGAGUAACACGUAGGCAACCUGCCUGCAAGACCGGGAUAACUAUCGGAAACGAUAGCUAAGACCGGAUAGCUGGUUUCCUCGCAUGAGGGAAUCAUGAAACACGGGGCAACCUGUGGCUUGCAGAUGGGCCUGCGGCGCAUUAGCUAGUUGGUAGGGUAACGGCCUACCAAGGCGACGAUGCGUAGCCGACCUGAGAGGGUGAUCGGCCACACUGGGACUGAGACACGGCCCAGACUCCUACGGGAGGCAGCAGUAGGGAAUCUUCCGCAAUGGACGCAAGUCUGACGGAGCAACGCCGCGUGAGUGAUGAAGGUUUUCGGAUCGUAAAGCUCUGUUGCCAGGGAAGAACGCCAUGGGGAGUAACUGCCCUGUGGGUGACGGUACCUGAGAAGAAAGCCCCGGCUAACUACGUGCCAGCAGCCGCGGUAAUACGUAGGGGGCAAGCGUUGUCCGGAAUUAUUGGGCGUAAAGCGCGCGCAGGCGGUCAUUUAAGUUUGGUGUUUAAGCCCGGGGCUCAACCCCGGAUCGCACUGAAAACUGGAUGACUUGAGUGCGGGAGAGGAAAGUGGAAUUCCACGUGUAGCGGUGAAAUGCGUAGAGAUGUGGAGGAACACCAGUGGCGAAGGCGACUUUCUGGACCGUAACUGACGCUGAG
Molecule: ribosomal RNA, 687 nt
Filed under: Paenibacillus sp. UFLA03-261
Lineage: Bacteria; Bacillati; Bacillota; Bacilli; Caryophanales; Paenibacillaceae
Description: bacterial SSU rRNA
Rfam family: Bacterial small subunit ribosomal RNA
Source: RNAcentral